Molecule: ribosomal RNA, 433 nt
Filed under: uncultured bacterium
Lineage: Bacteria
Description: partial 16S ribosomal RNA
Rfam family: Bacterial small subunit ribosomal RNA
Source: RNAcentral
AACGAACGCUGGCGGCAUGCCUAACACAUGCCAGUCGAACGAGACCUUCGGGUCUAGUGGCGAACGGGUGAGUAACGCGUGGGAACCUGCCCUUAGGUUCGGAAUAACUCCCCGAAAGGGGUGCUAAUACCGGAUAAUGUCUUCGGACCAAAGAUUUAUCGCCUUUGGAUGGGCCCGCGUUGGAUUAGCUAGUUGGUAGGGUAAAAGCCUACCAAGGCGACGAUCCAUAGCUGGUCUGAGAGGAUGAUCAGCCACACUGGGACUGAGACACGGCCCAGACUCCUACGGGAGGAAGCAGUGGGGAAUAUGGGACGAUGGGCGAAAGCCUGAUCCAGCAAUGCCGCGUGAGUGAUGAAGGCCUUAGGGUUGUAAAGCUCUUUUACCCGGGAUGAUAAUGACAGUACCGGGAGAAUAAGCUCCGGCUAACUCCGUG